RNAcentral lists this long non-coding RNA (532 nucleotides) under Sorghum bicolor (sorghum). RNAcentral's name for it is "long non-coding RNA (SBIC_LNC000310)". The record is from RNAcentral. Lineage: Eukaryota; Viridiplantae; Streptophyta; Magnoliopsida; Poales; Poaceae.
GGCGCGGGGGAGAGGAGGGAGAACGUGGGAGCGGCUUCGGCUCGGGCGGUUGUGCAGCAGAGAAAGGGGAGAGGGAGGGGGCGGUUGGAGGAAGAAGAAGUUGCUGACGGGUGGGUCCCACAUGGCAGAGAGAGAAAGGGAAAGGAGGAGGCGGGCUAGCAGUUGCUGCGCGAGUUGGGCCGUGCUGGAAUGAGAGAGAGGGAGAGGGAAUAGGAUUUUUCUUUUUAUUUUUCAAUAAAUUUUCAAAGCUCAUUUUUUAAAUUUGAAUUUGAAUAAAUUCUCUUUGCAAAACUUCACACAUCACAAAAAUGAAUGUUGCAGCAUAUAUGCAUCAAUAUAUUUCUAAUCUUACAGUAAAUUUUAAUUUCCCAAAGAUUAUUAUCUUUCCUAUAUUUUGAUGCUCACAAAAUUGUCUCAAUAAAUCAAAUUCAACUAUUUAAAACAAGGGAAUUUUUAGGGUGUUACAACUGUGUAAUUAGUUUUUAUUUUUGACUAUAUUUAAUGCUUUAUGCAUGUGCUGUAAAAUUUGAUG